Cricetulus griseus (Chinese hamster) is the source of this 1317-nucleotide non-coding RNA. The record is from RefSeq and is a predicted model, not a curated record. NCBI's taxonomy places the organism in Eukaryota, Metazoa, Chordata, Mammalia, Rodentia, Cricetidae.
UAGGCGGGCUGGUAGCCGGGAGCGCGCUUCUUAAAGGGACCGUCUGAUCACAGGGGCAGGUAGAUACUUGUGUGAUACACAGGUGAAGCAGGAACAGCCUCAUCCUUCAAGAACUUUUUGGACAAAUGUUAACAACAAAGAUGAGAACAGGCUCAGAACUUCAAACAGCUUGCCCAAAGUAAUGAUUCUUGACUUUCCUUAGCACCUUACAUACAAGGUGAGUAUCUUCCUUAGAGUCCUCUAGAAAUGUCUAAGGGCUUGAAGGCUGAAGGUCCCAACAAAGGUAUGGUGGAGGUUGGGGUGAGCACGUGCAGUAGAGUGUUCCAACACAUUCUAUAGAAACUAAGGGGAAACAAGAUACUGACAGUGGCACAGGAGCUGAGUAUGUUCUGACCUGGACAGCCGUGUCAGGCAUUUAGUCCUAUCCCCCCUCCUCGAGACAGGGUUUCUGUAUAGUCCUGGCUGUCCUGGAACUUGCUCUGCAGACUAGGCUGGCCUAGAACUCAGGGAUCUGCCUGCUUCUGCCUCCUGAAUUUGGGAAUUAAGGAUGUGUGCCACCAUGCCCAGCUCCCUCUCAAGUCUUUAAAGUUGUUUAAAAAUGUUUUUUUGUUUGUGAGGUGAUGGAAAAGGUGCCCCUCCCACUAAAGUGGUUUGAGUAGGUGGAACAGUUAGCAAUGAGUCUCUGGAAGCCCUGAGUACUCCAUCCUGGGACUAAAGACUCCUAAGAUCCUGGCUGGCUUUCAGGAUCAAGAUCAAGAGGUAGGGUGAAACAGAAUUGUUGAUCUCCUCUCGGGUUUCUAUGUUGCAGCAAAUGCCCCAGGCCAGCCUCUAUACAGCAGGUAGCUCCUGGUAUUCAGGGUCCUCUGACAGCUGCAAAGACACAAAGUGGAAAAGUAAGACACUUGAGGCUUGAGUUUGAGGGGCCUCUCAGCCUUCAUCUGGUCUGGCUUUGUCCCUUACAACUCUGCCUUUCCAUAGCUCAAGUCCAGUUGCUGCAUUCAGCAGGGAGGUUCCUACGUACACAGAUGGGCAGAAGACACAAGUACACAGGCCAUAACCUGCAUGUUCAGUAGAAGAGGAAAGAAACCAAACACAGGUCAGAGCUUACCUGACCAAGCAGUGCUUCAAAGACCCCUGCAUGUUCCACUCUUCUGCAUCCACUAUGGUUCCCAAGUUAGAUUUCCUCCAAAACCUAUGCUUCCCUGAUAUCCAGGAAGUUCCCUUUUCUUUCCAUCAGCCACUUUGUUGUUUGCAAACACACUCCAAAUAAACACUGCUUCAGGGGAUCACUGGCAGAAUAAAGCAGAAUUCAAAAGA